This 713-nucleotide ribosomal RNA is filed under the name Fusarium oxysporum. RNAcentral's name for it is "eukaryotic LSU rRNA". The stretch from base 231 to 384 matches the Rfam family "5.8S ribosomal RNA". The record is from RNAcentral. Lineage: Eukaryota; Fungi; Ascomycota; Sordariomycetes; Hypocreales; Nectriaceae.
AAAGCUCUCCAAACUUCGGUCAUUUAGAGGAAGUAAAAGUCGUAACAAGGUCUCCGUUGGUGAACCAGCGGAGGGAUCAUUACCGAGUUUACAACUCCCAAACCCCUGUGAACAUACCAAUUGUUGCCUCGGCGGAUCAGCCCGCUCCCGGUAAAACGGGACGGCCCGCCAGAGGACCCCUAAACUCUGUUUCUAUAUGUAACUUCUGAGUAAAACCAUAAAUAAAUCAAAACUUUCAACAACGGAUCUCUUGGUUCUGGCAUCGAUGAAGAACGCAGCAAAAUGCGAUAAGUAAUGUGAAUUGCAGAAUUCAGUGAAUCAUCGAAUCUUUGAACGCACAUUGCGCCCGCCAGUAUUCUGGCGGGCAUGCCUGUUCGAGCGUCAUUUCAACCCUCAAGCCCAGCUUGGUGUUGGGACUCGCGAGUUAAAUCGCGUUCCCCAAAUUGAUUGGCGGUCACGUCGAGCUUCCAUAGCGUAGUAGUAAAACCCUCGCUACUGGUAAUCGUCGCGGCCACGCCGUUAAACCCCAACUUCUGAAUGUUGACCUCGGAUCAGGUAGGAAUACCCGCUGAACUUAAGCAUAUCAAUAAGCGGAGGAAAAGAAACCAACAGGGAUUGCCCUAGUAACGGCGAGUGAAGCGGCAACAGCUCAAAUUUGAAAUCUGGCUCUCGGGCCCGAGUUGUAAUUUGUAGAGGAUACUUUUGAUGCGGUG